RNAcentral lists this ribosomal RNA (497 nucleotides) under uncultured bacterium. Its description in RNAcentral is "partial 16S ribosomal RNA". It matches the Rfam family "Bacterial small subunit ribosomal RNA", at positions 28 to 507 of the family's 1533-position model. The record is from RNAcentral.
GAUGAACGCUGGCGGCGUGCCUAAUACAUGCAAGUCGAGCGAACAGAUAAGGAGCUUGCUCCUCUUACGUUAGCGGCGGACGGGUGAGUCACACGUGGAUAACCUACCUAUAAGACUGGGAUAACUUCGGGAAACCGGAGCUAAUACCGGAUAAUAUAUUGAACCGCAUGGUUCAAUAGUGAAAGGCGGUUUUGCUGUCACUUAUAGAUGGAUCCGCGCCGUAUUAGCUAGUUGGUAAGGUAACGGCUUACCAAGGCAACGAUACGUAGCCGACCUGAGAGGGUGAUCGGCCACACUGGAACUGAGACACGGUCCAGACUCCUACGGGAGGCAGCAGUAGGGAAUCUUCCGCAAUGGGCGAAAGCCUGACGGAGCAACGCCGCGUGAGUGAUGAAGGUCUUCGGAUCGUAAAACUCUGUUAUCAGGGAAGAACAAAUGUGUAAGUAACUGUGCACAUCUUGACGGUACCUGAUCAGAAAGCCACGGCUAACUACGUG